RNAcentral lists this ribosomal RNA (468 nucleotides) under uncultured bacterium. RNAcentral describes it as "partial 16S ribosomal RNA". It matches the Rfam family "Bacterial small subunit ribosomal RNA", at positions 28 to 507 of the family's 1533-position model. The record is from RNAcentral.
GAUGAACGCUGGCGGCGUGCUUAACACAUGCAAGUCGAACGGAAAGGCCACAGCUUGCUGUGGUGCUCGAGUGGCGAACGGGUGAGUAACACGUGAGUAACCUGCCCUUGACUUUGGGAUAACUUCAGGAAACUGGGGCUAAUACCGGAUAGGAGCUCCUGCUGCAUGGUGGGGGUUGGAAAGUUUCGGCGGUUGGGGAUGGACUCGCGGCUUAUCAGCUUGUUGGUGGGGUAGUGGCUUACCAAGGCUUUGACGGGUAGCCGGCCUGAGAGGGUGACCGGCCACAUUGGGACUGAGAUACGGCCCAGACUCCUACGGGAGGCAGCAGUGGGGAAUAUUGCACAAUGGGCGGAAGCCUGAUGCAGCAACGCCGCGUGCGGGAUGACGGCCUUCGGGUUGUAAACCGCUUUCGCCUGUGACGAAGCGUGAGUGACGGUAAUGGGUAAAGAAGCACCGGCUAACUACGUG